RNAcentral lists this long non-coding RNA (730 nucleotides) under Felis catus (domestic cat). RNAcentral describes it as "lncRNA (ENSFCAG00000046963.1)". The record is from RNAcentral. Lineage: Eukaryota; Metazoa; Chordata; Mammalia; Carnivora; Felidae.
CGGCCCGGAAGAGAGGAGGGGCGAUGACCCGGGAAAGGGUUGGCGCCGCGCGGGACCGGCUCGCGCGCCUUAGGGGGCGGGGGCGGAGGAGCCGGGGGGGGCGGGGCUUCGCCUAGAGCCGGACCCUGAGACCCGAGCCGCGCGACGCGCUGACAGACCCUCUGGUCCGACGGCGAGGCUCGCAGCACCUCAUGCUUCCAUCCUGCGUUGAGAUCACGGCAGGACCACAUAAUGACUUUCAGGAGACCUAGGGAUUUUUGCCUUGAUGGGCCCCUUUCUCCACUAAAAAAAGGAAGAAAAAUUACAAUUGCACUUAUAAAAGAGGCUUUUCUAUUGCUCGGCCAAAACUCUUUCUCUAAAGAGCUAGACUCGACAAUAGGACCACCUGGAUACAGCCAAGGAGAAGACAGAUCCAUGAUGUGGGAGUUUUUUUGUUUUUUGUUUUUCACAAAAGAAACUUCCAGAUAAAUGCAGAAGAAUCUCCUAACCACUGAAAAGACAAACAGAAUUACAUGGUGGAAUUCCUCCACACGUGGUGAAUACAUUCUCCCCAGUGCCUUGGAACCUAAUCGUCACAUGAUAAUGGUCUCAUAGAAAGUAUGUUGAACAACUGACUUGGGGGUGAUUUGGGGAAAAUUGUAAUUGCCUGGACUUCUGGCACUAUUCAUAUUCCUAUACUAUUUAUAUUCACUUAGUAUCAAAAUAAAUGGUGAUUUUAAGAAAUAUAGCA